This 253-nucleotide ribosomal RNA is filed under the name uncultured bacterium. Its description in RNAcentral is "partial 16S ribosomal RNA". It matches the Rfam family "Bacterial small subunit ribosomal RNA", at positions 524 to 776 of the family's 1533-position model. The record is from RNAcentral.
AACGUAGGAGACAAACGUUAUCCGGAGUUACUGGGCGUAAAGGGCGUGUAGGUGGUUUCGUAAGUCUGGCGUGAAAUUUUUCGGCUUAACCGGGAAAGGUCGUCGGAUACUGCGGAACUAGAGGACGGUAGAGGCGUGUGGAAUUCCGGGUGUAGUGGUGAAAUGCGUAGAGAUCCGGAGGAACACCAGUGGCGAAGGCGGUUCUCUGGGCCUUACCUGACGCUGAGGAGCGAAAGCGUGGGGAGCGAACAGG